This 9390-nucleotide long non-coding RNA is filed under the name Populus trichocarpa (black cottonwood). Its description in RNAcentral is "long non-coding RNA (PTRI_LNC000406)". The record is from RNAcentral. Lineage: Eukaryota; Viridiplantae; Streptophyta; Magnoliopsida; Malpighiales; Salicaceae.
UCUGUCCUUUAGAUAUUUGUGCAUAUAAAUUAAAAUAUUAAAUUCAUUUUUUUUAUUCAAUAACAUACCUAAAAAAAAUACAAACACACACACAACUCUUUUUCUAUUAUUAUUUGUUUUUUCUUCUCUUUUCUUUUCUUUUCUUUUCUUUUUUUUUUUACAUCCACAUUUACACCAAGUACAAAUUAUAAAAAAAAAAACUCAAAAUUACACAAAUAUUACAUUACACAAUUUGAAAAUUACAAAAUAAUCCAAAAAAUCAGGAAAAACAACUCUGGGAUGCAUUCUGGGUCUGCCUGAACAGUAGCGGCGCAUCUCCCCACGCGCCUCCGCCAUUGGCGGCGCGUGGAUUCACGCGCCGCUGCUGACAAUGACCGGAAAUGGGCAGAUCUGCCCUGCUUUCUUCUUCCCUUCCCUUCUCUGCUGGCUGUGAGAACCACAGUUACCUGCAAAGGUAAAAACACACAUGCAAAGCUUCCGAUUCUUUUUCCCUUUUUUUUUUUAGAUCUACGCUCUCUUGUCUUCUCCUUUUGGUUUUCUGUUCUUCCCUUCUGCAGGUGGCGGACGGCUCUGAGGUCAGGGUGUCUCUGUGAGCGGCUGGAGGAAGGUGAGCAGCGGCUGGUUUCUGUGGGCGCCGCCGUAUGGGGGCUGUCGCUGGAGGGCAAAUCUGCGAACGCUGCUGGAGGGAGAAGACGGACCGCUCCGAGUCUGUGGGCGAUGCUGCUGCUGACGGCGAAGACCAGGAAGAAGACAGCGGGGGCUGACGUUGUGUUCGGCUUGAGGAAGAGAGCUUGUCCGUGGGUGAGGGGGGAGUGAGCGGCUGCUUAGGUGAGGGGGGAGUGAGCUUGUCCGUGGGUGAGGGGGGACGGCGGCUGUCUUCAACAGGGAAAGGGAGGCUUCGGCUGAGGGGAGAAGACUGGGGUCCGUCUGGUCAGAAGAGGAAGGUCGGCUGAGGGAGAAGAGAAAAAAUCAAAAAAGGGGGGGGGGCUGGCCAGGCGGCGACUGCCUUCUGGUGAGGGAGAGAAAAAGCUAAGCUUUUAGGGUUUGUGUUUUUUUGUGUUGCCUCUCCCCCAAAUCUCAAAAUGGCCCCCCUUUGGUUUUGAGUUUUGGACCUAUAUUUAUAGGUAAAAUGUUGUCCGGACUCAAAAUUGGUCCUUCAAUUUUUUUUUUUGUAAAUUUUGAUUUUUCUUGUUUUUUCUUGUAUUUUUAAAAACGAGCAAUAUCAACGUUGACUCAAAGAGAAAAAUCAAGGAUUUUAAAAACAACGCGUGAAAAUUCGAACGCAUUCGAAAACUUCUGAAAAUUUAAAUUUUUUUUUAGACGACGUUGAAAAUGCUAAAAACGAUGCAAAUAUAUAAAAACAUAUUUUUUUGGAUUUUCGUUGUUUUUCGCUAUUUUUGGAUUUUUUCAAAACUUUUAUCAAAUAGGUGGGUCAAAAAUUGAGUAGCAACAGAUGCCCCCUCUUUACAAUGCUUACGAAGCAAAAUUCCUCAAUGUUUUGCAUAGUAAGCUUUGUAAAGAAAAGAAAAAGAAAAUGAUCUCAUUAUCUUGGGCAACUGCCCCUUUUAAAGAAAAAGUGGUCUAUUUUCACGGGCGACCUGCCCACACAUACUCAUUAUGGUCUAUUUUUAGGGGCGACCUGCCCACACACUCACACGGGUCUAUUUUCACGGGCGACCUGCCCACACAUACUCAAAGUGGUCUAUUUUCACGGGCGACCUGCCCACACACUCACACAAUGGUCUAUUUUCAAGGGCGACCAGCCCACACAUACUCAAAGUGGUCUAUUUUCACGGGCGACCUGCCCACACACUCACACUGGUCUAUUUUCACAGGCGACCUGCCCACACAUACUCAAAGUGGUCUAUUUUCAAAGGCGACCUACCAUUUUGAUUGGGUUUACCUGAGAUCCCAUCUGGCGAUCUAACAAGAACAAAAAUUGGUGUGUAGCUCGGUCAACCUGAAAUCCCAUCUAGCGAUUCCCUUUAACCAAAGCUAAAUUCUGCAUGGUUAGGCUAAACUGAGAUCCUUUUGCCGAUCCCCUUUAACCAGAACCAAAACUCUUGUGUGCGAUUAGGAUAGACUGAGAUUCCUUUCGCCAAUCCCCUCUAACCAGAACCGAAACUCUUGUAUGGUUAGGAUAGACUGAGAUUCCUUUCGCUAAUCCCCUCUAACCAGAACCAAAAUCUAUGUGGUUGGGCUGAACUGAGACCCCUUCGCCGAUCCCCUUCAACCAGAACCAAAACUCCUGUGUGCGGUUAGGAUAGACUGAGAUUCCUUUCGCCAAUCCCCUCUAACCAGAACCGAAACUCCUGUAUGGUUAGGAUAGACUGAGAUUCCUUUCGUCAAUCCCCUCUAACCAGAACCAAAAUCUGUGUGGUUGGGCUGAACUGAGACCCCUUCGCCGAUCCCCUUCAACCAGAACCAAAAUCUGUGUGCGGUUAGGAUAGAUUGAGAUUCCUUUCGCCAAUCCCCUCUAACCAGAAUCGAAACUCCUGUAUGGUUAGGAUAGACUGAGAUUCCUUUCGCCAAUCCCCUCUAACCAGAACCAAAAUCUGUGUGGUUAGGCUGAACUGAGACCCCUUCGCCGAUCCCCUUCAACCAGAACCAAAACUCCUGUGUGCGGUUAGGAUAGACUGAGAUUCCUUUCGCCAAUCCCCUCUAACCAAAACCAAAACUCCUGUAUGGUUAGGAUAGACUGAGAUCAGAACCAAAAUCUGUGUGUGUAGCUCGGUCUACCUGAAAUCCCAUCUGGCGAUUCCCUUUAACCAAAGCUACGUGAGAUCCCAUCUGGCGACCUCCUUUAACAAAAACCAAAAAAUGUAAAAAGUGGUCUCAUUGUAAUGGGUGACCUACCCAGAUGAAAGAAUGUUAAAAACGGUCUCAUUAUGAUGGGUGACCUACCCAAGUGGAAAAAAUGAUGGUCUCAUUGUGAUGGGUGACCUACCCAAAGAAAGAUGGUCUCAUUAUGAUGGGUGACCUACCCAGAGAAAGAUGGUCUCAUUAUGAUGGGUGACCUACCCAGAUGGAAAAAUGUGACUUACCUGGCAAAAAGACUUGGCUGGAGAAGUCUUGACAGGAUAAGGUUGACAAACUGCGCUUCCUGAUUACAGGGUUGACUUGAAGACCCCUCUUGAUGACAGGGUUGAUCUCCUCGUUUCUUUGAGAUUCCCCUACUAGCAGGGUUCAUCUCAUUCUCUUCUCGUUCCAGGAUCUAAACCAAUUCUUUGUUAUCAUCAACUCAAUGAUUCUUUCUUUGUCCACAAUCUUGCUGGACUUCAUUGAGGAUCUUCCUGUAACAAUCACAAGUAUGUGCAGUGCUUUGAGGUUAGAUGGCAUGCAUGCAUCCUUACCUGAUUUGAAAUAUAGGUCCCCCCCUCUUUGAUGAUCCAUUGUUAUGAGGUGCCUUUGUUUGCAUUCCAAAGCUUUCUUUGUUCUUUCGAUGCAUUUGCGUGCUAGCCUUCUACUCAAAUGCAAGUACAAUGCCCAUCUUAGGCUGUCCACGGUGAUUACUACUCUCGUUGUUUAUCAAGCUGGACUCUGCCCCCAAGUGUGGUGUUGCUUGAUUCAUCAUGAAGGAUUUUCUCUUUUGGAUUCUUCUAAGAAUUAUCCUCUGAUUGGUUGUGUGCAUCAUGCCAACACCCAUCAAAAUGGUCAAUCAAUCAUGAACUUACUUCCAGCUAAAACAAUACUUUUCAAGUAUAUGUUAUCAUCAACCUUCUUGGAACUGUCAGGUCAUCCAGACAUGGAUCUCAUACCUUGCAGUAAAAGCCUCAUCGUUGUUAGCUCAAUGUUUUUCUCCAUGGAUUCCUCUCAGUUUGUCAAAUCAAAUCAUGAAAGGAAAUGCAUUGGCAUCAUCAAUGAUGUUCAUCACCCAUAUUCAUGCAGUGAAGUGCGCAUUUGAGCUUCAAAACAAAUGGUCCCACAGUCAAUCUUAGUGGGUGCAUCCUUCCAACAUUCAUUCAAAUGCAACAAUGUGAUAACAUCGCUCAAAAGUCAUAGCCAUGUUGGAGAUGAUAAACCAAAAUGAAGAUAUGAAAAUAUCCUUCAAGUGCAGCGUUGCCCAUUAAUUGCUGCUGAAGUUCACUAAAUCAUGGAUUGUCUUUGAACAACAUUGCCCCCAAUAUGAUCUGAACAUGCUCAUUCUUCUUUCUAUAACCAAAUGGCUUUUGUGAUCGCUAAGAAUGACUUUGAUGGACUUCGCCAACUCAUCGUUCGAUUCUUUCUCUGCCCCCAGCUGAUCUGAAUACCUUUUGUUUUCCUUCUCAGGGUCCACUGUAUUGACCCAGGUGGUCAACUUUUCAAGGAGUGUCAAGAAGUGUUGAUGUCAUUCUUGUCAAGGAUUUUGCAAACUCGAUCGAUAUUCUUCUUAUUUGACAAUCUUUCUAUUCUGGAAUCAACUCUCAUACUCCAAAGAUCAUGUCUAUCCAAAGUCUAGUUGUUGGAAUGAAAUCAGAGAGAUGUCAAUUUUGAAAAGUAUUUUUGGAAAUCAAGCUUGUUUGGUCAAAGAUCCAACACACGUUAUUCAAUGUAGUCCUUUGAUUGUCGUGUAUUUUGAAAACAGAAAUGACCCGUUGUAAGAUUAAAAUGACUUUUUUCAUGGUUCUUUGUGUCAGUUUUAAUCUUUGAUCUUUGGGUAUACCUUUCGAUGGUCUACGAUGAGGUGACCUUCUGUGAAUUUCAAGAAACAAAAGGCUCAAGUCAAAACUUGAGGAUUCAUCAAGAAAGAUUGUUUUCUUUUUUUUAGCACCAAUUUUAUCAGCAUGCAUAAUAACCAGUAGCUUAAUCCAUGAAGUCACGACCCUUAUGGAAAAGCUCUUCAAGUUUUGAGAGCGCCAUUUAUCAAUUCAAAUUGCUUGCUUGAUUAAAAAGGGCUUUUAAAAGCACGUAAUGCAGGCUAUGGUUCAUGGCUAUGAAAGAAAGGAAUUUCACAGGCUCAAAUGGUGUUUAAGGGUUUCAAAGACCCAGGAUCAACAUCAACUAUUCACCAACUUGUUUUCUAUUGUUGUCUUUGUAGAGGAAACGACAUAUAACCUUGUUAAUCUCAAAGAUCAGACUUCUCUUAACAUAAGUCAUAAUGCAAAUCCACCUUUCCUUAAUGAAUAACCAACCUUAAUCAUCUGAUAACAUCAUAGGCUUGAUAAUGGAAACCAAAAGUCACGUUUAUAGCUUAGUCUUUUUUCUGGUGUUGACUUUUGUUGUGUCUUUCCUUGAUUGAAAUUUCUUUUGCCCUUCCUAGACUUGAUAGGCGUUCUCCUUCCUUUAUCUUUGACUUGCCUUUAAACGAAGGCAAUUUCAACUUCUUCUUUUUUUCAAUUCUUUUUUUUUUCUUUUUUUUUCUUUUUUGUUUUCUCAUAGCCUUCCUCAAAAUUUCUUAUAUGCCCCCAGUCUAUGUGUUUUCUUUUAGCCCUCUCUCAAUCAUUGGACUUUUGUUCUAAGCCUUCCCCUUUAUCCAUUAAUUAUAUCAAUGUCUCCAACAUAUCUCUCAUCUGCCCCCAGUGUGGGGUGUGAUCCAAGUCAGGGUUUUUAUGAAAAGAAUAUUCUAUCCAGCUCAAAAUGGGACUACAAGGGAUAUAAUCUUUAGAAAGUGAAGGGAUAUCAAAGAUGGCCUUUUCUCAUUUCAAGCAAGGUCGGUUAGAACCGAUCAAUUUUGACCCCAUCCGGUGUAAUGAUUGGGACUUGUAAGAAUUAUGAUUCACGAGUCCAUAACUACCGAAUCCACUACAUGUUAUUAUGCAUACUGCUAAAACUUAGCUAUAUGAUGUGUGGUUCAGUUUCAGGAGGUAUGAGUUCAAAAUUGUUUAGUCACCUCAUGUCAUUUUCAAGCAUCGAGUCAUUUCUGUAAUCAAAACACUUUUAAUCUUCCGGAUUGAUUAACCUUUAUCGCAUGUUGGAGUUUGAUCAAAAUAUUUUGUCAGAAUGAAAUGCUAAACAUCUUUGGAUUUCAAAACAACAAAGAGACAAAAACAAGACAUGUUUCGUUAAAGGAUGAGAUGUGAUCCCAAAACAAAAUGCAGAAUUCCAUAACAAUAUGAUUGACAAUUCAUCGCCAUUCUUGAAUCAGCUUUUCUGGCAAUAUCUGUGUUUUGCCAAGCACUUUCGAUCACAUGUCAUUCUGAAGAUGUUCGGGGGAUAAUAUAGCCAAUGACACUCUCCUUCACAAACUCUACUUGUCUCUUGCUCACUGACUUCCGGACUCGCUUCUUGAAAUUCUUGCAACUGUUCCAGUAAAUGGCUGAGUACCCCACCAUGACAUCACAUCUCUUGUUCGGAUUAUACCACCUAAAAAAUGGUAGUUGCAUGGGAUUUGUCGGAGUCAAGCAAAAAUCUGGAAUCUGGCAGAUGCUGGUAAAUAAACUCACAUGACAACUGUUCAAUUGAAAUUCUUGCAGCAAUUCCAUUGAAAUGGCCGAGGACCCCACCAUCACAUCACAUCACAUCACAUCUCUUGUCUGGAUUAUACCACAUGGCAAAUGAAUGUCUAUCUUUGGCAAAGACAUUGGAGUAGUCGAUGAUACAACGAGACUUGGCUAGACCACAUAAUUAAGGUUUCCCACCGUCAGAGUCUUCCUUUGAUUCAUCUCUCAUCAUUGUUCUGGAAUCCUUGGCAGAACCUUCAAUCUUUCCCAUCUUGAUAGCUUGUUCAUUUUUUUGGCAAUUCAUACAACUUCAUGUCAAUCUUCCAAUGUUAUUGUUGUUGUUUUAGGAUUGUUGGAAACCUCUCAAUAGCUAAGGAAUCCUGGUAGUGCAUAAAAACAAAAACGUGUGGAAUCACACAUUGUCAAAACUGGAAGAGAGCCCGAUGAAUCUAAAGCUCCUCUAUCUCCUCUUCGAUUCCUCACAGACAAUGGAACAAACAGACAUCUGUAAAGGGAGUUCUGCUCUGUUAAAGUUUCAGUCUUCUUCAUGUUGUUUAGUCCAGGUUUGUCUUUUCUCCCUUCUUUUGCGUUGUAAUGUCGAUACUGGUAGGGGAAAAUUGUGGACAAUCUGAAACCACUGCAUCCCUUCUUGGGUUUCCCACUUGCAGACCCAUAAACAGAUUUCUGCUGAGAAAGCUCUGCCACGUUGAAGUUUGAUGUCUACUCAUGUUUUUCAGACUAGAUCUGACUCUUCUCCCUGCUACAAUGUUUUGCUGGUGCCACUGGUGGGAGAAAUUUUCAAAGCAUGUGAAACUACUACAUCCCCUCUUGCAUUCCCCACAAAUAAAUCUUUACAGAGAGCUCUGCAACGUGGAAGUUCAGUGUCUAAUCCUGUUGCUGAACUGGAAUUGAGCUCACAAUUGUGGUAACUUUAAAGAAGACUAAUGCACCAUGCAUAUGAGGCUAGUAGUUAUUUGGUUCCAUUAAAAGAUGUGGAGGCGAUGAAAAAUUAACAGUGCAACUGAACAAGAGCAAAGGUUGUCAUUAGCUGAUGACUAAAAGCAUUGUUGUUGCUGUUCAUGACUGAAAAGGAGAGGUACAGCUUCAAUUAGACGUGAAUAAGCAGUGUUCCCACAGAAGACUGUGCAGACAUUCUCUUUCCAUUUGAUGCUCAACACUUGUUCGAGCAAAUCUGAGUCUAGCUACUUCACCUUUGAUGCUCUCAACCUCAAUCUGAUAAUGAGCCUCUAUCCAUAAUCUUUCUUCCCUUCCAUCAUCUUUCUUCCAUCACGUGCAGCACAGCUUGUGCGAGGGACCUACCUUUCAACCCGGUACAUGCAUGAUAAAUGUAUGAAUAUGUAAUCUAUAUGACGAACUCGCCCUUCGAGGGGUGACAUAUGAUCGCAACUCUUGCAUGAUGAAACAAGAAUCUUGAUUCUUGCACAAACUCUACAAUGAAAAUUUUCUGAGCGACGAUCAUUGUGUCACCCAUAAGUCUGGAGUUCAAGAUGCUUCAAGAAGGGCUUGCUUGGAUGCAAAACAAUGUCUACGGAGCAUACAUCCUAAAGACAGUUCUAAUCCUUUUUAAGUGGGACAAAAGGUAGGUUUACUACUUGGUCUCUAAAAAGGGUCUCUCGUUGUCCCAGUGAUUACCCUCUUGAAGGCAAUAUAGGGGCUUGUAGGCAAUGAGAUGGCACGUGUCCAACUAUUACCAGUCUAAGCACUCAACGAAGAGUUGGGGUUUACACAAACUUAAACCUUGACUAAAAUCAUAAGGUAAGCUGCUAGUCCCCCUCCUAACCUGAAGCUUGUGUGUGCUUUAAAAAAUUACACUAUGUGAUGCAUGAGACAAUUCUACAAAAUGCAUGGAUAAAACAAAAAUAAAAUAGGACAAAAUUGUAAAAACAUAAACGCAUCAAAAACACAAAGCUUAGUCCAAUAAUGUUGAAAACAAUACCUUCCCCAGUGGAGUCGUCAUUCUGUCGCACGUCCGAAAAUCCGCGCGGCAUCGGGCUUGACGACUUUUUCGUCUUCUCGUUUGCUUUGAUUACAUCGUUAGGAGUCGCCACCUAGUAUUUAAUUGAGGGCUACUAGGAAACCCGGGUGUACUGGUCUCGUCAGAGAUUCAUGGGUAAGGGACUGGUUGUGGUUAGGGAAGGUAUUAGCACCCCUAACGCACCCUACCUGAGGUAAGCUGCUUCGUGGACUUGAUGUGUUAAAGAAGUUUUAAAAUUCGGUUCAUUCAUCGAAUUUUAGAAAAUACAACUUACACUUACAUGUAAGUUCAUAAUUCUUUAUCCGUGAGCAAAUCAGAAUAUUAAAUUCUUCUUUAUUCUCGCAAUUUUAUCCUAAAAAAAACAUUCAUAAACAAAAUACACACCACACAUUCACUUUCAAGCUUCGUGGACUUGAUGUGAUUUAAAAAAUAAAAUUUUAGCCCAAUUCUAAGGCUUUGAUAAAUCAGUUAUUACUUCCCAAAAUAUAUGUAGAUACAUGUUCUAUAUUUUUAUGGAAAAUACAACAUGAUUUUUAUCUGUCCUUUAGAUAUUUGUGCAUAUAAAUUAAAAUAUUAAAUUCAUUUUUUUUUAUUCAAUAACAUACCUAAAAAACAAUACAAACACACACACAACUCUUUUUCUAUUAUUAUUUGUUUUUUCUUCUCUUUUCUUUUCUUUUUUUUUUUCUUACAUCCACAUUUACACCAAGUACAAAUUAUAAAAAAAAAACUCAAAAUUACACAAAUAUUACAUUACACAAUUUGAAAAUUACAAAAUAAUCCAAAAAAUCAGGAAAAACAACUCUGGGAUGCAUUCUGGGUCUGCCAGAACAGUAGCGGCGCGUCUCCCCACGCGCCUCCGCCACUAGCGGCGCGUGGAUUCACGCGCCGCUGCUGACAAUGACCGGAAAUGGGCAGAUCUGCCCUGCUUUCUUCUUCCCUUCCCUUCUCUGCUGGCUGUGAGAACCACAGUUACCUGCAAAGGUAAAAACACACAUGCAAAGCUUCCGAUUCUUUUUCCCUUUUUUUNNNNNN